GAGUUUGAUCCUGGCUCAGAUUGAACGCUGGCGGCAUGCCUUACACAUGCAAGUCGAACGGCAGCACGGGAGCUUGCUCCUGGUGGCGAGUGGCGAACGGGUGAGUAAUGCAUCGGAACGUAUCCUGGAGUGGGGGAUAACGUAGCGAAAGUUACGCUAAUACCGCAUAUUCUGUGAGCAGGAAAGCGGGGGACCUUCGGGCCUCGCGCUCUUGGAGCGGCCGAUGUCGGAUUAGCUAGUUGGUGAGGUAAAGGCUCACCAAGGCGACGAUCCGUAGCAGGUCUGAGAGGAUGAUCUGCCACACUGGAACUGAGACACGGUCCAGACUCCUACGGGAGGCAGCAGUGGGAAUUUUGGACAAUGGGGGCAACCCUGAUCCAGCCAUGCCGCGUGAGUGAAGAAGGCCUUC
RNAcentral lists this ribosomal RNA (409 nucleotides) under bacterium enrichment culture clone ALO1_GLFRUDD03GBMZI. RNAcentral's name for it is "bacterial SSU rRNA". It matches the Rfam family "Bacterial small subunit ribosomal RNA", at positions 9 to 419 of the family's 1533-position model. RNAcentral also lists the same sequence under 1 other name. The record is from RNAcentral.